This 46-nucleotide non-coding RNA is filed under the name Schistosoma mansoni. Lineage: Eukaryota; Metazoa; Platyhelminthes; Trematoda; Strigeidida; Schistosomatidae. The record is from RNAcentral.
CAACUGCUGAGGAGUUCUACAAUAGGACGAAACAGUUGUCAAGUGC